This 46-nucleotide non-coding RNA is filed under the name Schistosoma mattheei. The record is from RNAcentral. Lineage: Eukaryota; Metazoa; Platyhelminthes; Trematoda; Strigeidida; Schistosomatidae.
GCACUGCUGAGGAGUCCCAUAAUAGGAUAAAACGACCGUCCAGUGC